CCUANGGGUGGCAGCAGUCGAGAGGCUUCGGCAAUGGGGGAAACCCUGACCGAGCGACGCCGCGUGGGUGAUGAAGUCCUUCGGGAUGUAAAACCCUGUCAUACGGGAUGAAAAACCGAUCGGUUAAUAGCCAUUCGGUUUGACAGUACUGUAAGAGGAAGCUCCGGCUAACUCCGUGCCAGCAGCCGCGGUAAUACGGGGGGAGCGAGCGUUAUUCGGAUUUACUGGGCGUAAAGGGUUCGUAGGCGGUCAAGUAAGUCAGGGGUGAAAUCUAACGGCUUAACCGUUAAACUGCCCUUGAAACCGCUUGACUUGAGGACAUGAGAGGAAAGCGGAAUUCUUGGUGUAGCGGUGAAAUGCGUGGAUAUCAAGAGGAACACCAGUGGCGAAGGCGGCUUUCUGGCAUGUUACUGACGCUGAGGAACGAAAGUCAGGGGAGCGAACGGGAUUAGAUACCCGANUANUC
Molecule: ribosomal RNA, 466 nt
Filed under: uncultured bacterium
Lineage: Bacteria
Description: bacterial SSU rRNA
Rfam family: Bacterial small subunit ribosomal RNA
Source: RNAcentral